Molecule: long non-coding RNA, 229 nt
Organism: Ornithodoros turicata
Lineage: Eukaryota; Metazoa; Arthropoda; Arachnida; Ixodida; Argasidae
Exons: 3
Source: RefSeq, a predicted model, not a curated record
GCAAGGUCCUCCGACGUACUGCAACUGCUCAGUAAAGUUCGAAAUGGGGCAAAUCGCGACGGUGUACAGUGACUUGAACAAAUAUUGGCCCUCAAUUAUUCGCAUGGGAGCAGAGGCUUUCUGGAAGCACGAAUGGGACAAGCACGGCACAUGUGCAUUCACUUGCCCUGCGCUUAGCGGACAAAAGAACUACUUUAGCAAGACCGUGGAAUACUUCGGAAAAGUUGGC